This 228-nucleotide long non-coding RNA is filed under the name Homo sapiens (human). Its description in RNAcentral is "HSALNT0264527". Lineage: Eukaryota; Metazoa; Chordata; Mammalia; Primates; Hominidae. The record is from RNAcentral.
GGUGGGAAGGUUAAUGUAGUGCAGCCUUAUCGCCUUUGGGCAAUUCUGCCAACUUGGAAUAGUUUUGUGUCUCUUCUCUGAAAAGGAAAUGUGCUUUGCCAUAGUGAUAAGGAGGAUAGUAAAGAGGUCAAUCCAGGGAGAUGAGGAUGCCUACCAAUGCUCCCUGUUCUACCCGGGAUUAUUAUGAAUCUAGGAAGUGAGAGGCUACAGUUAAUUUUAGUUCUGAGU